This 238-nucleotide long non-coding RNA is filed under the name Paramuricea clavata. Lineage: Eukaryota; Metazoa; Cnidaria; Anthozoa; Malacalcyonacea; Plexauridae. The record is from RNAcentral.
GAGAUUAUAAAUAACACUAGAGGAGGCAUCGAGUUUAAAAAUUGGGAACGCAGCUAAUGGGGAGCAAAUUCAAGUCCUGGAUAUAAAAUCGUGCUCCCAUUGGCUGAUUUGAAACUCGUCACCAAUGGGAACACGAAUACACAUCCGGGACUUGAAUUUGCCCCCUAAUAGUCGCGUUCUCUUUUUUUUACUGAAUUAAGAUUACAAUGCCUCCUCUAGUGUUAUUUAUAAUCUCUAU